CGUUGCGCUUGCCCCGUGCCGGAGUGAAGUCACCAUUCUCUAGGUUAGACGCAGCAGCUAAAAACUUUUCAAACGUAACCAAAACAUCCAAGGGCCAAGUUCCAGACACUCGGGAGACGGUGGUGCAGUUGCCAUGGGAACAGAGAACCCAGCCUGGCUGCUGGUGUGAAGUAGGACUUGGUGUCCUGUCCAUGGUAUUCAUACACCGACAGUACUCUAUUGUUGCUGUGGCUAAUGAUCCAUCUUCUUCUGUCUCACAAUGAAAACAUGGCCUCGUUUAAAAGAACACUGCACUGUACUUUCUUUAAAUCAGGCGUUCUCAACAUAUGAUGGAGAUAUGGAGCGGAGAUCCCCUGCUUAUAUAUCUUGUAUAAAAGUGUGUUUUAAAUUAAA
This is a long non-coding RNA of Nerophis ophidion (straightnose pipefish), 393 nucleotides long. RefSeq lists it as uncharacterized. NCBI's taxonomy places the organism in Eukaryota, Metazoa, Chordata, Actinopteri, Syngnathiformes, Syngnathidae. The transcript has 3 exons. The record is from RefSeq and is a predicted model, not a curated record.